Long non-coding RNA from Orcinus orca (killer whale), 6557 nucleotides. RefSeq lists it as uncharacterized. Lineage: Eukaryota; Metazoa; Chordata; Mammalia; Artiodactyla; Delphinidae. The record is from RefSeq and is a predicted model, not a curated record. The transcript is spliced from 3 exons.
UCCGCGGGGAGGGGGCCAGGGCCGGGGUAGUGGGGCGGGAGGGCGCCCCGCGGGCACCUCGGUGUGGCUGAGCGUCUCCCCUGCUCUCUGGGUCCCGGGAGUUCCCUCGCUGUGUGACCCUCAGCAAGUGUGCGCACCUCUCUGAGCCUCGGCAGCCUGUAGCAAAAUGGAGGAGCUCGUACCGGCUGUGAGACAAAAUAGGAGCGGCAAAGGGUAGCGCUUAAGCGCAAGGACUGGAGUCCUCACUCCGCCACCGGCUAACUUCGGGAAACUAGCUGUACUGAUAGAACCACCUCAUAGGUUUGUUAUGAAGAUUAAGUGAGUUAAUAUUUGUAAAGUGUUUAGAACAGCUUCUGGUACGUGGUAAGUGGUAUUUAAGUAUUGGUUAGACUACGGGAGGUCUCGCUGCGCGAUUUUCUCCCUUCCCCUCUCCACCCCCACAUUCCUGUUUGUAAGCCAAGCCUUGCUUUAGCACAGGCUGGGCCCUCUGCCUGGAAAUCCAUGCCCACCUCUUCUCUGCACUUUAAUAUCCCCCCUCUGUGAAGCCUUUCUCCACUCCUGACAGUACAUGUGACUCUAUGGUGACAGGUAAGUGUGAAAAAUAUGAAUGGUAGGAACAUAGGAGAACUUGGGUUUGAACCAGCUCCACUGUAGACCAGUCCUCGAGAUCCUAGGCAAGGUGCUGGCCUAUGAGGCUCAGCUUUCUUCUGGGUUAAACGGAAUGAACAUGACCACCAACUUCAUGUGCUGUCAUGAGAGAUACAAUGUCCAGAUAAGCUCGUGAAAUACUUAGCACAGGCUUAACUCGCGGUAAGUCCCCCUUUAGUGGUAGUGGUAUUACUUCACCUUAUUUCAUCUGAUUUCACUUCGUUUCUUCUUCUAGACCUGUGUCUUACUCGAGACACAGUGAAAGGAAAGACCCCCCAGUCCAAAGGUCUGGACAAAAUGCUGAGACUGAGCAUCUCGAGGAUGGCUUCUGUAGCUGAGACACAGGGGUGAAGGAGUGAAGGAAGAAGGCAGGAAUGAAUGACCAUAUGAGCAGCUAGUCUGCCUGUUUCCUGCCAACACCAGUGUUCCCUUAAGUACUUUUUGGGUUUUGCCACGUCCCUGCUCAAAGUCUCUCCAUCACUCCCUGUUUCCGAGCACAUCCAGUCCACUGCAUAUGUCUCCUCCCAGCUGUGGGUACACCCCACCCAGCUCAUGGGGCGUACUCACCAUCAGGCUCCCUUUCCUUCUCCAGGCCAGUCCUGUGCUCGCCACUUCCCCAGGGACAGAGGCAGGCAAGCCUGUUGCUAGCCUUAUGGAGCCCCCAAACUGGAGAGGAUGAAGCGGCGAGAUGCACAGCAACAGUACCAAGCUGGGUGUGCAUGGUUAAGAAUGUGUAUGGGAGGGGCUUCCCUGGUGGCACAGUGGUUGAGAGUCCGCCUGCCGAUGCAGGGGACACGGGUUCGUGCCCUGGUCCGGGAAGAUCCCACAUGCUGCGGAGCGGCUGGGCCCGUGAGCCAUGGCCGCUGAGCCUGCACGUCCGGAGCCUGUGCUCUGCAACGGGAGAGGCCACAACAGUGAGAGGCCCGCGAACCGCAAAAAAAAAAAAAAAAAAAAAGUGUAUGGGAGAGAACUUGUACCACAGAGGAAGGAGAGGGAGUGGAGAGAGCUUCAGGAAAGGGAGAGGGCAGGCUGAGCAGGGUUUAGAAGGCUGAAUAUGAGUUCACCAGGUGGGUCAGAGGGAAGGCCAUCCUUGGCAAGGGGAAGAACAUGUGCAAAGACAGCAGACAGGCAGAGAGUGACUGCUGAAGGGGAGAAAGAAUCUCUAGACCACACUCAGAGACUGAUGGUGGAGCCCUGGAUUUGGACUCCUGAGUCCCAGCUCUGCUUUUUACUUGUUAUCACCAAGCAAAUCCUUUCUCUUUUCUGAGCCUCAAGACUCACAUCUAUAAAAUGGGUGUAACAAUCCCCUCCUGACUUGGCCAGAGGAAAAACGGAUUAUGUGUAAAAGUUUAUCCAAAUAAACAGUACUAAUUCAUGAUGUCGGAAGUCCAAUCAAACCCCCUUCCUAUGGUCAGGGUGGGACUUGAAGACAGAGCAGAGUGGCUAGAAAAACAGCUUUACCUUCGCCCUCCCCCAUCAUACCUGCCCCAACAGACUCCCAUUAACUGCUUGAAAUUGCAUUUCUAGAUGUUCUUUGUGUAAAAGCUUUAUGAUCCCUGGAGGGUACAGUAUAGAGGUAAAUUCAUCAGAAGCUAUCGACAGUGAUCAGAUAUUAGAUUCACAGGUGGGCUAGUUUAGUUUUUGGAUGGCUGAGUCCUGGGCAACCGGAUUUAACUGCAACCAGAGAGGAAGCACCAGAGAAAGCCUAAGGAAGUGAGCCUGGAAGUUUGGGAUGCCUGGGAAGAGAGAGCGAAUGCCCAGAGCGGGCUCAUGGAAGUGCCGCUUAAGCCAGAGAGCCAGGCUAAGUAGCCCCGGCGGCGGGAGUGCAGGGGAUUGGGAGCAAGAAGAGAUGAAGUUAGGGGGAAUUUGAUGGGAGAAGAAGCUGAGGAGGGGUCAAAUGCCAGGUAUAGGAGUUAGGGCUUUAUUCAGUGGGCAGUGGGGAGCCAUGGAGGGUUUUUGAGCGGGGAAGGACCUGAGGAAGUCUCAGCCUCCUCUCAAGCCUUCCCUAUCCCGAGGCUUUAAAGGGGAGUGUGAGGAGGCUGGGGUGGAGCCCUUGGGCUCCGCUUGGAAGGACCAAGUGCCCACCUCCCCAAGCUGCUCUCACACUGGCAGCUUUGUUCCCUGGAGGCUGCUUUAGCCCAGGAAGGAACUCGGACUUUUGGAUUCCAAGCAGCUCUAGCCCUAGCCAGUCGGAGGAAAAGAGCUCCCUGGGACUGGCGGGGCGGUGCCAGGUGGCCAGGCGGAUGCCGGCGGCCUGGUGCGUGCCUGUGCGCACGCUCGCACGCUCCGGGACCCCAGCCGCGCUGGGCUCGCUGUGCGCGCUGGGGGCGGGGCGGGGUGAGGGGGUAGGGGUUGGUAGCAGCAGCUCCCGAGUCUGGAGUGAGUAAGGGGUGCCCGGGAAAAGGCGCUUUUUUUUUUUUUGCCUUUAAAGGCAAGCGUCUCUGGCAGCCAGCAGAAAAAGCUUUGCUAAGUCAGCUGCCGCUGAUGCAAGUGGAGCUGGCAGGGACUGGGACUGGAGAGCCCCUGAUCCGCAGGAUAUUCUGCAACCCCGAUCCUCACAGGCUGCAGGUACACACUGUGUUGGACUCCUGAAAGUCCUGAUGGGCCAGGGAGGACAGUUUUGUAUGUUUAAUAUUUUCAUUCUGAUUUGCGCAUCAGUUCAUACCACCUGCUCUCAGAGAACUUUUCAGCUUCCCUCCUUUAUCCUUUCACAAGCCCCUCCCCGGCCCUCUGCACACGCUUUCAUCAGGGCCACCACCUGCUCGCCCGAUGCUGGGGUAUAUUGAGGGAACACUUCCUUCCCCCAAUUCUCUCCCGCACCGGGCUUGUCUGUCCAGCUGCCUCCAGGACAGCCCUCUGAAUGCCCCACAGGUACCUGGCCUUCACCAUGUUUAAGUCUAAACUCAUUAUCCUCUCCCGUCCCUCCUGGUCCCCCACUGCAGAGACGGUUCCUCUAUCCACCAAAUAGCCCAAGUCAGAGAUCUGGCAUCUUCCUUGACUCUUCUCUCUCCCUCAUCCCCAAUAUCCAACCAAUCCUGUGGACUCUGCCCUUCCAAAAUAGCACUGGACUCCAUCCCCUUCUCUCCGUUCCACUGGUCCUGUGCUAGCUCUGCUCAUUCUUCCUCCCACCUGCCACCUCCAUGGUCUCUCUCAAACAUCCAGCCAGCACAUGGUCAUUUCCUUGUUUAAGCAUCUUUCCCUGGCACACAACAACGUGGCUACAGCUCACAGACACAAUGUUGUGUGAAAGAAGCCAUAUGCAAAGGAGUGUGAUUUCAUGUGUGCAAAGUUCAAAAACAGGCAAAACUUAUUUAUAGGAUUAGAAGUCUGGGUAUUAGUUACCCUUGGGGGGAUGAAUGACCCUCAGGAGGUCUGGUAAUCAGGGCUGGGACCAAGGUGAGGCAGAUGAGGCAGGAUCAAUAUUACUGAUAUUUCCCUUUUGCCCUGAGCCUUAAUGUGACCCAACACAGCAUUGUUACUAAUCCUGUCUUUAUCUAAAAGUUUAAUAUUUUGUCAUCAUGCAUUUUCUUGCAUUAGUUUUGAUUUUUAAAAAAUAUUGCAUUAAAACGUUAUUUAUCCUGAUGGCUGAGCUUUUCGGUACCCCCUUAAAUUUUACUCAGGAGGUGAGUGUCUCACUUGCCAUUUCCUAGUCCUGCCCCUGCUGGUGAUGUUUUGUAAUCAGAGUGCUGGUGACACGUGUGUGUUCAGUUUGUGAAAACUCAUUGGGCUGGACAAUUCCAGUUUUUACACUUCCCCGUGUGCAUGUUAGGCUUCAAUUAAAAAAAAUUUUUUUUACUUAAAAAAAAUUCUUUCUGUGGUUGCAAGGGAAUGACCGCUGUCUGCUUCUUCCAGCACCCCCAGCACCCAAAAUGGUACCUGACUUCUUCCAGUUAGUUUAAUCCCCACAAGACCUCAGUGAGAUGAGUCUUUUUCUCUCCAUUUUCUAAAAGAGAAAACUGAGACUUAGGGAAGUGAAGUGAUUUGCCCAAGAUCACACAGGUAGUAGGUAUGAGUUCUAGCACCUUGAUUUAAAAAAAAAAACAAAAACUCUGACCUGUAGCACCUGCUCAGUCACCUGGCCCAGCACCAGCACGAGCAGUGCACCAGGACCUGGCUCUUUACCGCUGAGAUUACAGUUAUUUGAGCCGUAUCUUUCCUCCCAAUAAUGACCUCCUUGGGGUAGGGGCUCAGGCAUCCCUGUCUUCCCUCUGUCCAGCGAGUUACUUAAAGCACAGAGAAGAGGCUCUAAAUGUUUAAUAAAUGAAUGAAGCAAAGAACGAACGAGUGAGGAGGCCGGCAGUGAUAUACGGUGGGUGGAACACAGGCUGGGGAGGCAGAUCUGCUAGCUGUGUGUCUUUGGGCUUAUUGCUCAGUCUUUCUGAGUCUCAAUUUCCCCACCUGUAAAAUGGGAAUAAUAUCCGUACUUACCUCAAAGAUUUAGUGAGAAUAGGAAGUGAGAAGAUGACUGUCAGGUGACUGGCGUAUAAUACCUUCUUGAAAAAUGGUAACGAUUGUUACUCUUUCCAGUGUUUCACGUUCUCAAAGCCUGAUUUACUUUAGGGUGGCAGGGAUCGACCUCUUUCGAUUUCCGUGUAUUGUUGGAAGCAGGGGACCUGAUGCAGACCCCAGGAACUUUCCUCCUUGAGCCCACAGAGAGGGCCAGUGCCGGAAUAGUCCGCAAGUCUGGCUUUAGGGCCCAGCUCUACCCUUCCUGUGGUGUCAUCUUUGAUGAGUUGCUUCUUCUUUGUGAGCCUCUCUUUUCUCUCUGUAAAAUGGGGCUCAGAAUAAUCUUGACCUUGUGGGGCUCUGGGGAGGGUUCAGUGGCUUGUCCCUGGGCCUAGUCCACAGUAUGCCUUCCGUUAAGGUUGGCGCCCUGGGGAAGAGCAAGGAGACCAGAGGCUCUCAGACCUAAGAAGUCCAAGGACUGAUGGGUAAAGCAAAUAAAUAAAUAGCCUGGCUGGGCUCUGUUUUGUUCUUAGAACUUUAUUUCUCCCGAGAAGUGAAAUAACAAUGCCGUUUAUGCUGGUACAACUUUUUAACUGUGCAAAACACCUUCUCAGUGUCAUUCCUUGGGUCCUCCCCACACCUUGUGCGGAGGUCAAGACCAGAUUUAUUCAUGUGCCCAUUGGACAGGUGAGGAGACCGAGGCACACCAAGGUUAAAGCCAUUUGCUUGAGGUCACACCAAAGGAGGAAUUGGAUAGCAAAUGGAAGGUGUGAGACCUGGACCUCUUUACCUCCAGAUACCACUAUGCAGCAAUUUGGAGCCAAAAGAAAGCACAGACCUCACCUCCUGAGUGAGCGGCCAUGGCCCAGUCGGCAUCCGGCUACGCGCACUUCCCCCACUCCCAGCCCCACCUGGAUGCCACCUGGCAGUCACAUGUACAUUCAUCACGGAGGAGCCGGCUGACUCACCGCAUUAUACCGGAGCUGACUCACCCUUUAGAAGAUGGAAAGUGAGACACUGAAAGCCUGGAGAAGCCCUCCCUUCCUCACUGAAGCUUGAAACCCACGGCAGCUUAGCUCUUAAGAAAGGGAAAGCACUGGAGGUGGACAUCCCUGGACUCAGAAGGCAGUGGUUCUACUCCACUCUGGGCAGUUACGGGUUUGCUGGGUGACUUCAGGCAAGCAUGUUCUGCUCCACGUGGUAGCCUGUAACCACCACACAAUGCCAGAAUUUACCUGGGACCACUUCAAGGCUGACUCGACUCUCUCCUGGUCUGGAUUCCAAAUUUCUAGAAGAGAGAAGCGGAUUGGCCCAGUUUGGGUGAGAUGUUUGUCCUGGGUCCUAUUGGCUGUGGUUAGGCGGUGGGGUCAUAGAAAACGAACAAGGCUGGCAGGGCUCAUAUCUGUUGUGAGGGUGGGGUGGAGGAGGGUGCAAACACAUGCACCCGUUAAAAAUGUGGAACA